RNAcentral lists this ribosomal RNA (452 nucleotides) under uncultured bacterium. RNAcentral's name for it is "bacterial SSU rRNA". It matches the Rfam family "Bacterial small subunit ribosomal RNA", at positions 9 to 463 of the family's 1533-position model. The record is from RNAcentral.
GAGUUUGAUCAUGGCUCAGAUUGAACGCUGGCGGCAGGCCUAACACAUGCAAGUCGAGCGGUAGAGAGAAGCUUGCUUCUCUUGAGAGCGGCGGACGGGUGAGUAAUGCCUAGGAAUCUGCCUGGUAGUGGGGGAUAACGCUCGGAAACGGACGCUAAUACCGCAUACGUCCUACGGGAGAAAGCAGGGGACCUUCGGGCCUUGCGCUAUCAGAUGAGCCUAGGUCGGAUUAGCUAGUUGGUGAGGUAAUGGCUCACCAAGGCGACGAUCCGUAACUGGUCUGAGAGGAUGAUCAGUCACACUGGAACUGAGACACGGUCCAGACUCCUACGGGAGGCAGCAGUGGGGAAUAUUGGACAAUGGGCGAAAGCCUGAUCCAGCCAUGCCGCGUGUGUGAAGAAGGUCUUCGGAUUGUAAAGCACUUUAAGUUGGGUAGGAAGGGCGAGUAAAUU